AUGCAGCGCCGGCCGCGCGCGCGCAAAGGCCGGGUGAGACGACAGCGCGUGCGCGGGAUCCGGAGCGCCACGCGCUCUCCUUCCCUUUGCACCCCUUCUGGGAGGCAGGCUCCGCCCGGUCCCUUGCUAUGCGCGUGCGCCGCGGAAUCGCUGCCCUUCCCAGGCCGGGGUUCGCGUCCACGAACUCCCGCCUCUUCGCUGUCGCUCAGCACGGGGACUUCACGUGCGCCGAGGCCGCCUCGGAGGCGGGGUCUGGUUGGGUCGCCUUUUCGAGGGCGCAGGGGAAAACACUUCUUUCCCACAUCAGAUGUUUCUUGAAGUAUGGAGUGGGUGCCACUAUCAUAACUCUCAAUACUCUAUUCCAGUGCUGCUAGCAAGUUUCCUGGUGUGUAAGUUUGGCGUGUGCAGCCCACCUUCUUCCUCUCCCCUUUCCCAUAGAAGUCAGGCCUCCCACAGACGGUGUGCCUUCUGCUCUGCUACUUCAUACCGUAAGUUUCACAGGGUUCUGCCCAUGCCAGGGGAUGUUUGGGCUAAGCUUAGCAAGAUAGGCCCUUUGGGGGAAGGGGAGCUUCAGUUUUGGGAGC
RNAcentral lists this long non-coding RNA (584 nucleotides) under Zalophus californianus (California sea lion). RNAcentral describes it as "lncRNA (ENSZCAG00015009245.1)". The record is from RNAcentral. Lineage: Eukaryota; Metazoa; Chordata; Mammalia; Carnivora; Otariidae.